This 528-nucleotide ribosomal RNA is filed under the name uncultured Ilumatobacter sp. RNAcentral's name for it is "bacterial SSU rRNA". It matches the Rfam family "Bacterial small subunit ribosomal RNA", at positions 355 to 897 of the family's 1533-position model. Lineage: Bacteria; Bacillati; Actinomycetota; Acidimicrobiia; Acidimicrobiales; Ilumatobacteraceae. The record is from RNAcentral.
UGGGGAAUAUUGCACAAUGGGCGAAAGCCUGAUGCAGCAACGCCGCGUGCGGGAGGAAGGCCUUAGGGUUGUAAACCGCUUUCAGCAGGGAAGAAACUGACGGUACCUGCAGAAGAAGGUGCGGCCAACUACGUGCCAGCAGCCGCGGUGACACGUAGGCACCAAGCGUUGUCCGGAUUUAUUGGGCGUAAAGAGCUCGUAGGCGGUUCAGUAAGUCGGGUGUGAAAACUCUGGGCUCAACCCAGAGACGCCACCCGAUACUGCUGUGACUUGAGUACGGUAGGGGAGUGGGGAAUUCCUGGUGUAGCGGUGAAAUGCGCAGAUAUCAGGAGGAACACCAGUGGCGAAGGCGCCACUCUGGGCCGUAACUGACGCUGAGGAGCGAAAGCGUGGGUAGCAAACAGGAUUAGAUACCCUGGUAGUCCACGCCGUAAACGUUGGGCACUAGGUGUGGGUCUCAACCAACGAGAUCCGCGCCGUCGCUAACGCAUUAAGUGCCCCGCCUGGGGAGUACGGUCGCAAGACUAA